AGAUGAGACUGAGAGAAAAAAGAAAAAGAGAAGAUGAUGGAGAUGAGAGAGGAAGAGCAGAUCAUGGAGCCUCUCAAUAUUUCCUGGAAGUUAGCAUUAAAUACUAGCAGCACAGUAGAAUUGCAGCAGAACAUACCAUUUGUGAUGUACUUUUAAAAGAUUGCUCCUGCUCAUUUGAUCCUCUCCAUGUCAUUGGGGACAGCAUCCAUUCAUACUCCUUUCUCUGAGCGAUUGGAGUAUCCCCAUGCAGCACAGCAAACCAUGGUGGACACUAUACAAGGACAACAUGGAGGAAAGGACACAGACAAAAUGCUUGACAUGCUUUUCAGUUUAUUAGAAAUGUAUUUAUAAA
Ictalurus punctatus (channel catfish) is the source of this 352-nucleotide long non-coding RNA. The record is from Ensembl. NCBI's taxonomy places the organism in Eukaryota, Metazoa, Chordata, Actinopteri, Siluriformes, Ictaluridae.